UUAACUGAAACCAAAAAGAGGUAUAUUAUUGUUAAUAAUAAAAAUGAAUUAAACAUUCCAGUUAAA
This 66-nucleotide transfer RNA is filed under the name Microtermes sp. BDIT051. RNAcentral's name for it is "tRNA-Asn". The record is from RNAcentral. Lineage: Eukaryota; Metazoa; Arthropoda; Insecta; Blattodea; Termitidae.